Pelobates cultripes (western spadefoot toad) is the source of this 442-nucleotide non-coding RNA. The record is from the annotation of a GenBank genome assembly. Lineage: Eukaryota; Metazoa; Chordata; Amphibia; Anura; Pelobatidae.
CAGUGUCUUGCAAAUCCCAUAGGAAAGCACUGGACCAAUGCUUUCCGAUGGGGAAAGCACUGGACCAAUGCUUUCCGAUGGGGAAAGCCUAAUGCGUGUGGCGCUUGACAUGCAUGCGCAUUAGGUUACCACUCAUGCUGACAUCAGUGGAGAUGGAGCCAGUGCCGAGGGACCUCAGUGAUGGAAUCGGUGAAAUGUUUAAAGCGUUAUUAAACACUUUGUUUUCCGUGUGGCACGAAGGGACAGAGGAACAUGUAGUGUUAGGAAUACAGCUUUGUAUUCAACAUUAGUUUCUUUAAAUGUAUUUCUGAAGACAGGCACAAAUAAGUCAUUUUAUCUAAAAUGGAGUUGAUACAGUUUAAAAGUUGUGAAGCCCAGUAAAGAAUCUGGUUUGUUUUUUAAACUUUUUCUGGAUUUCAAAAUUGUUCAUUCAAGAAACGGG